ACUCAGAUAUCUUCCACCUCUACUUAUCUGAGUGCAGAGAGGAGGACAGAGAACAGUGGACACACAGUUUAACAUGAUGGACUAUAGGACAGGACUGCUGCUUUUAACUCUCUGCUGGGCAGGUGUUGAUGGUCAGACUCUGACAGAAUCUGAACCAGCAAUUAAAAGACCUGGAGAAUCUCACAGAUUGACCUGUACAACAUCUGGAUUCACAUUCAGUAACUACGGCAUGCACUGGGUCAGACAGGCUCCUGGAAAAGGACUGGAGUGGGUUGCUUACAUCAGAUAUGACAGUAGCAGCAUCUACUACUCUCAGUCAGUCCAAGGCCGGUUUACCAUCUCCAGAGACAACAGCAGAGAGCAGCUGUAUCUGCAGAUGAACAGUCUGAAGACUGAAGAUUCUGCUGUUUAUUAUUGUGCUCGACACCCACAGUGACUGGAGUUGGUUGAGCAGC
Perca flavescens (yellow perch) is the source of this 455-nucleotide non-coding RNA. The record is from the annotation of a RefSeq genome assembly. Lineage: Eukaryota; Metazoa; Chordata; Actinopteri; Perciformes; Percidae.